The sequence is a ribosomal RNA, 473 nucleotides long. It matches the Rfam family "Eukaryotic small subunit ribosomal RNA", at positions 569 to 1044 of the family's 1831-position model.
AGCAGCCGCGGUAAUUCCAGCUCCAAUAGCGUAUAUUAAAGUUGUUGCAGUUAAAAAGCUCGUAGUUGAAUUUCGGGGUCUGUCCAUCGGUCGGGCUUUUUCGGUCCGCACUGUUGCGAUGGAUUCCUACCUUCUGAAUAACCGAUUUGCCAUUAAUUUGGUGGGUCGGGGAAGCAGGACUGUUACCUUGAAAAAUUAGAGUGCUCAAAGCAGGCUAGUGCCUGAAUACAUUAGCAUGGAAUAAUAAAAUAGGACGGCAUGGUUCUAUUUUGUUGGUUUCUAGGAUCACCGUAAUGAUUAAUAGGGAUAGUUGGGGGCAUUAGUAUUCAAUUGUCAGAGGUGAAAUUCUUGGAUUUAUUGAAGACUAACUACUGCGAAAGCAUUUGCCAAGGAUGUUUUCAUUAAUCAAGAACGAAAGUUAGGGGAUCGAAGACGAUCAGAUACCGUCGUAGUCUUAACCAUAAACUAUGCCG